GUCUAUGAAAGUGCACUGUGUGACCGUCCUCCUUUGUCCCCCUCCUCCCCAGAGAGGUGUUGUACAGUUUGAUGGCUCGGGGGACAAAGGAUUUCUUGAGUCUGUCUGUGGAGCACUUGGGGAGCGGCAGCCUGCCGCUGAACGAGCUCCUCUGUUUGGUGCUGACGGCGUGCAGAGGAUGGCUGGCGUUGUC
Long non-coding RNA from Sebastes umbrosus (honeycomb rockfish), 193 nucleotides. RefSeq lists it as uncharacterized. The transcript is spliced from 3 exons. NCBI's taxonomy places the organism in Eukaryota, Metazoa, Chordata, Actinopteri, Perciformes, Sebastidae. The record is from RefSeq and is a predicted model, not a curated record.